AAGGAAUAUUGCUCAAUGGGAGAAAUCCUGAAGCAGCAACGCCGCGUGGAGGAUGAAGGGUCUAUGACUUGUAAACUCCUGUAAAGAAGGAAAAAAUUCCCAUUUGAUGGGAGAUGAUGGUACUUCUGGAGUAAGCCCCGGCUAACUACGUGCCAGCAGCCGCGGUAAUACGUAGGGGGCAAGCGUUGUCCGGAUUUACUGGGUGUAAAGGGUGCUCAGGCGGAUUUGUAAGUCAGAGGUGAAAUCUUACAGCUUAACUGUGAAACUGCCUUUGAUACUGCAAGCCUAGAGUAUGGAAGAGAGCGAUGGAAUAUCUGGUGUAGCAGUGAAAUGCGUAGAUAUCAGAUAGAACACCAAUGGCGAAGGCAGUCACUUGGUCCAUUACUGACGCUAAAGCACGAAAGCGUGGGUAGCAAACA
RNAcentral lists this ribosomal RNA (419 nucleotides) under uncultured bacterium. RNAcentral's name for it is "bacterial SSU rRNA". It matches the Rfam family "Bacterial small subunit ribosomal RNA", at positions 356 to 774 of the family's 1533-position model. The record is from RNAcentral.